Molecule: transfer RNA, 57 nt
Filed under: Dipodomys ordii (Ord's kangaroo rat)
Lineage: Eukaryota; Metazoa; Chordata; Mammalia; Rodentia; Heteromyidae
Source: Rfam by way of RNAcentral
UAGCUUAGUGGCAAAGCGCUUGCCUAGCAAGUGCAACAUCCUGGGUUCGAUCCCCAG